UACGGAGGAUUCAAGCGUUAUCCGGAUUUAUUGGGUUUAAAGGGUGCGUAGGCGGGCUAUUAAGUCAGUGGUGAAAUCCUGCAGCUUAACUGCAGAACUGCCGUUGAUACUGAUAGUCUUGAGUUUGGUUAAGGUAGGCGGAAUGUGUAAUGUAGCGGUGAAAUGCUUAGAUAUUACACAGAACACCAAUUGCGUAGGCAGCUUACUGAGCCGACACUGACGCUGAGGCACGAAAGCGUGGGGAUCAAACAGGAUUAGAUA
RNAcentral lists this ribosomal RNA (261 nucleotides) under uncultured prokaryote. RNAcentral's name for it is "partial 16S ribosomal RNA". It matches the Rfam family "Bacterial small subunit ribosomal RNA", at positions 524 to 784 of the family's 1533-position model. The record is from RNAcentral.